UACAGAGGUCUCAAGCGUUGUUCGGAUUUAUUGGGCGUAAAGGGCGCGUAGGCGGUCCUUCAAGUCUCUCGUGAAAUCCCUCGGCUUAACUGAGGACGUGCGGGAGAUACUGCUGGGCUUGAGUCCGGAAGAGGGUGGUGGAAUUCCCAGUGUAGCGGUGAAAUGCGUAGAUAUUGGGAGGAACACCGGUGGCGAAGGCGGCCACCUGGGCCGGAACUGACGCUGAGGCGCGAAAGCGUGGGGAGCAAACGGG
RNAcentral lists this ribosomal RNA (253 nucleotides) under uncultured bacterium. RNAcentral describes it as "partial 16S ribosomal RNA". It matches the Rfam family "Bacterial small subunit ribosomal RNA", at positions 524 to 776 of the family's 1533-position model. The record is from RNAcentral.